This 484-nucleotide ribosomal RNA is filed under the name uncultured bacterium. Its description in RNAcentral is "partial 16S ribosomal RNA". It matches the Rfam family "Bacterial small subunit ribosomal RNA", at positions 30 to 507 of the family's 1533-position model. The record is from RNAcentral.
AUUGAACGCUGGCGGCGUGCCUAACACAUGCAAGUCGAGCGGAUGAAGGGAACUUGCUCCUGGCUUAAGCGACGGACGGGUGAGUGAUUCCUAGGAAUCUGCCUGGUCGUGAGGGCUAACGUCCGGACACGGGCGCUAAUACCGCAUCCGUCCAGAGGGUGAAAGUCAGGGAUCUUCAGACCUCGCGCUAUCAGAUGAGCCUAGGUCGGAUUAGCUAGUUGGUGGGGUAAAGGCCUACCAAGGCGACGAUCCGUAGCUGGUCUGAGAGGAUGAUCAGUCACACUGGAACUGAGACACGGUCCAGACUCCUACGGGAGGCAGCAGUGGGGAAUAUUGGACAAUGGGCGAAAGCCUGACCCAGCCAUGCCGCGUGUGUGAAGAAGGUCUUCGGAUUGUAAAGCACUUUAAGUUGGGAGGAAGGGCAGUAAGUUAAUACCUUGCUGUUUUGACGUUACCAACAGAAUAAGCACCGGCUAACUUCGUG